UACGAAGGGGGGCUAGCGUUGCUCGGAAUCACUGGGCGUAAAGGGUGCGUAGGCGGGUCUUUUAAGUCAGGGGGUGAAAUCCUGGAGCUCAACUCCAGAACUGCCUUUGAUACUGAGGAUCUUGAGUUCGGGAGAGGUGAGUGGAACUGCGAGUGUAGAGGUGAAAAUUCGUAGAUAUUUCGGAAGAACACCAGUGGCGAAGGCGGCUCACUGGACUGGUAUUGACGCUGAGACGCGAAAAGCGUGGGGGGAGCGAAACAGGG
Molecule: ribosomal RNA, 263 nt
Filed under: uncultured bacterium
Lineage: Bacteria
Description: partial 16S ribosomal RNA
Rfam family: Bacterial small subunit ribosomal RNA
Source: RNAcentral